This 253-nucleotide ribosomal RNA is filed under the name uncultured bacterium. RNAcentral describes it as "partial 16S ribosomal RNA". It matches the Rfam family "Bacterial small subunit ribosomal RNA", at positions 524 to 776 of the family's 1533-position model. The record is from RNAcentral.
UACGUAGGGGGCAAGCGUUAUCCGGAUUUACUGGGUGUAAAGGGAGCGUAGACGGCGAUGCAAGUCUGAAGUGAAAGGCGGGGGCCCAACCCCCGGACUGCUUUGGAAACUGUAUGGCUGGAGUGCAGGAGAGGUAAGUGGAAUUCCUAGUGUAGCGGUGAAAUGUGUAGAUAUUAGGAGGAACACCAGUGGCGAAGGCGGCUUACUGGACUGUAACUGACGUUGAGGCUCGAAAGCGUGGGGAGCAAACAGG